AUGCGGAAGAGAUAAGUGCUGAAAGCAUCUAAGCACGAAACUUGCCCCGAGAUGAGUUCUCCCUGAGACUUUAGGUCUCCUGAAGGAACGUUGAAGACGACGACGUUGAUAGGCCGGGUGUGUAAGCGCAGCGAUGCGUUGAGCUAACCGGUACUAAUGAACCGUGAGGCUUAACCUUAC
RNAcentral lists this ribosomal RNA (180 nucleotides) under Salmonella enterica subsp. enterica serovar Nchanga str. CFSAN001091. RNAcentral describes it as "partial 23S ribosomal RNA". It matches the Rfam family "Bacterial large subunit ribosomal RNA", at positions 2753 to 2925 of the family's 2925-position model. The record is from RNAcentral. Lineage: Bacteria; Pseudomonadati; Pseudomonadota; Gammaproteobacteria; Enterobacterales; Enterobacteriaceae.